ACACGCAUGACACACUGCAUAUCAAUAAGCGGAGGAAAAGAAACUAACAAGGAUUCCCUUAGUAACGGCGAGUGAAGCGGGAAGGAGCUCAAAUUUGAAAUCUUCAAGGUUUUACCUUGACGAAUUGUAGUUUAUAAGAAGUGUUUUCUGUUAGUGGAGUGGCAAAAGUUCUUUGGAAUAGGACAUCAUAGAGGGUGAGAAUCCCGUAUUUGACCAUUAUUUCCAGCUUUGUGAUACACUUUCAAAGAGUCGGAUUGUUUGGGAAUGCAGUCCAAAAUGGGUGGUAAAUUUCAUCUAAAGCUAAAUAUUGGCGAUGAGACCGAUAGCGAACAAGUACCGUGAGGGAAAGAUGAAAAGAACUUUGAAAAGAGAGUUAAACAGUACGUGAAAUUGUCAAAAGGGAAGCGUUUGACACCAGUGUUGUUUUUCCGAAAAUCAAUUACGAAUGUUUUAUUUUUGAGAAGUUAUGACUUCAUCGGCUUGCUUCUCUCUUUAUGAAACUUUCUUAAUGCACUUUUCGGUUAACAAGUCAACAUCAAUUUCUUUUGUUGUAAAAGAGGUUAUGAGGAAGGUGGCUUUACUUUCGGAGUAAAGUGUUUAUAGCCUUGUUACUCUGCAAUCGGAGAGAUUGAGGUCUGCAGCGUAGAUCCUUCGGGGUUAGAUACAUUUGUGCUAAGUUAUAGCUUUUCAUAGACAACUUGUUGACUAUGUUAAGUCUUGUGAUUUACUCGCAUAUGCUAUUUUACCUACGCUUAGGAUGUUGAAGAUGUAGCACAUCAUACACGCAUGACACACUGCAUAUCAAUAAGCGGAGGAAAAGAAACUAACUAGGAUUCCCUUAGUAAUGACGAGUGAAGCGGGAAGAUCUUACUCGCUUGCGCUAUUUUACCUACGCUUAGGAUGUUGAUAGUCACAGCGUGUAC
This 923-nucleotide ribosomal RNA is filed under the name uncultured Neocallimastigales. Its description in RNAcentral is "partial large subunit ribosomal RNA". It matches the Rfam family "Eukaryotic large subunit ribosomal RNA", at positions 23 to 812 of the family's 3401-position model. Lineage: Eukaryota; Fungi; Neocallimastigomycota; Neocallimastigomycetes; Neocallimastigales. The record is from RNAcentral.